This 301-nucleotide ribosomal RNA is filed under the name uncultured bacterium. Its description in RNAcentral is "partial 16S ribosomal RNA". It matches the Rfam family "Bacterial small subunit ribosomal RNA", at positions 509 to 807 of the family's 1533-position model. The record is from RNAcentral.
CAGUCGCCACGGUAAUACGGAGGGUGCAAGCGUUAAUCGGAAUUACUGGGCGUAAAGCGCACGCAGGCGGUCUGUCAAGUCAGAUGUGAAAUCCCCGGGCUUAACCUGGGAACUGCAUUUGAAACUGGCAGGCUAGAGUCUUGUAGAGGGGGGUAGAAUUCCAGGUGUAGCGGUGAAAUGCGUAGAGAUCUGGAGGAAUACCGGUGGCGAAGGCGGCCCCCUGGACAAAGACUGACGCUCAGGUGCGAAAGCGUGGGGAGCAAACAGGAUUAGAUACCCGCGUAGUCCCUGUCUCUUAUAC